GGAUAUGGUGGUGAUGUGUGGUUCCCACAGCCAGCACCAAAGGAUCGGAUCACCCCUGGCGCUACAUGCCUAACAAUGCCAUGACCCCUCACAUCUCUGGGACUACAAUUGAUGUGCAGCUGCGGUAUGCGGAUGGUGUGAGGGACAUGCUGGAUAGGUAUUUCAAGGGCGAGGACUUCCCGGUGCAGAACUACAUCGUCAAGGAAGGCCAGCUCGCCAGUCAGUACCAGUGACCGCGCGAGAUGUUGCUGUGCUGUGUAGGCUUUUCUGGUGAGAAGCUGCGAGGAAGAAACUCCUGUUGCGUACUUGCGUUACUGUAUGAGUAGCUCUGAGAAAUCUGUCAGCGGCCACCUGUAAUAAAAGAAUGCCUUGCUGGUAUCUCA
Molecule: RNA transcript, 383 nt
Organism: Zea mays
Lineage: Eukaryota; Viridiplantae; Streptophyta; Magnoliopsida; Poales; Poaceae
Exons: 2
Source: RefSeq, a predicted model, not a curated record